Molecule: ribosomal RNA, 253 nt
Filed under: uncultured bacterium
Lineage: Bacteria
Description: partial 16S ribosomal RNA
Rfam family: Bacterial small subunit ribosomal RNA
Source: RNAcentral
UACGUAGGGGGCGAGCGUUGUCCGGAAUCAUUGGGCGUAAAGCGCGUGUAGGCGGCCCGGUAAGUCCGCUGUGAAAGUCCAGGGCUCAACCCUGGGAUGCCGGUGGAUACUGUCGGGCUCGAGUCCGGAAGAGGCGAGUGGAAUUCCUGGUGUAGCGGUGAAAUGCGCAGAUAUCAGGAGGAACACCAAUGGCGUAGGCAGCUCGCUGGGACGGUACUGACGCUGAGGCGCGAAAGCGUGGGGAGCAAACAGG